Long non-coding RNA from Rhineura floridana, 533 nucleotides. RefSeq lists it as uncharacterized. Lineage: Eukaryota; Metazoa; Chordata; Lepidosauria; Squamata; Rhineuridae. The record is from RefSeq and is a predicted model, not a curated record. The transcript has 2 exons.
AUAUAUGAGCACGCUCAGUGAAUUCUUCUUUGUGGUCAUUUAUCAUUUUGAGCAGAUUUGCUAGAAAAAAUAUUUUAGACCAGUUCAUCAACAGCUCCACUGAUGGCUGCCACCAGUUCUGGAAUCCCUUGAGAACAAUAACAUACAACCAAGCUGUUAGCCAUAUUUCAAGUAAAGCACUCCUGUUAAAGAGGCAGAACAUGGUCAAAUGUCACUGUUGCUGAACUUGAAAGAACUUUGUGAUUGCAGUACACAAAAUUAGAAAAACUCUUCCAAGCAAAACUUUGUUUCCAACAUAUGUUCAAUUCUUCCUUCUGCAGAAUAGAAAUUCCACUAAUAAAACUAAGAUUCAUUUACAACAUUAUGAAGAGAACGCCAGUGAUAGACAAUAAAGCAGAUAUAUUGUGCAUUUCUUAAAACACUGCAUGACAAUAGGCUGCAAAUAUAACUUCACACUUCACCUGUUCUUGGAAAAUACUUUUUUAAAGCUACUGAAGACAGAAGCUAUGAAUAAAACAAAAGCUUUUUCUCUC